UACAGAGGUGGCAAGCGUUGUUCGGAAUUACUGGGCGUAAAGGGCGCGUAGGCGGUCUUGUAAGUCUUGUGUGAAAUCCCUCGGCUUAACUGAGGAACUGCACGGGAUACUGCGAGACUUGAGAUCGGGAGAGGGAAGCGGAAUUCCGGGUGUAGCGGUGAAAUGCGCAGAUAUCGGGAAGAACACCCGUGGCGAAGGCGGCUCUCUGGGACGGUACUGACGCUGAGACGCGAAAGCGUGGGGAGCGAACAGG
RNAcentral lists this ribosomal RNA (253 nucleotides) under uncultured bacterium. Its description in RNAcentral is "partial 16S ribosomal RNA". It matches the Rfam family "Bacterial small subunit ribosomal RNA", at positions 524 to 776 of the family's 1533-position model. The record is from RNAcentral.